RNAcentral lists this ribosomal RNA (460 nucleotides) under uncultured bacterium. RNAcentral describes it as "partial 16S ribosomal RNA". It matches the Rfam family "Bacterial small subunit ribosomal RNA", at positions 338 to 795 of the family's 1533-position model. The record is from RNAcentral.
CCUACGGGAGGCAGCAGUGAGGAAUAUUGGUCAAUGGACGCAAGUCUGAACCAGCCAUGCCGCGUGCAGGAAGACGGCUCUAUGAGUUGUAAACUGCUUUUGUACGAGGGUAAACUCAGAUACGCGUAUCUUUCUGAAAGUAUCGUACGAAUAAGGAUCGGCUAACUCCGUGCCAGCAGCCGCGGUAAUACGGAGGAUUCAAGCGUUAUCCGGAUUUAUUGGGUUUAAAGGGUGCGUAGGCGGGCGCAUAAGUUAGAGGUGAAAUCCCGAGGCUCAACUUCGGAAUUGCCUCGGAUACUGUUCGGCUAGAGAGUAGUUGAGGUAGGCGGAAUGUAUGGUGUAGCGGUGAAAUGCUUAGAGAUCAUACAGAACACCGAUUGCGAAGGCAGCUUACCAAGCUACUUCUGACGCUGAGGCACGAAGGCGCGGGGAGCAAACAGGAUUAGAUACCCCAGUAGUC